GUUAGAAUUUCGUUGUGUGUAGGUGCCCUUCUCAAGCCAUUCGAACAAGGUUGCGGGACCAAGGACGAUCCUAACCUGUCCGAUAAGGCUUCGGAUUCUGUGACAUCAGUUUGAACAGGGAUUCAAGAAGAAUCCUAUUAUGCCCACGUUUUGAGAGAGAUGCAGUUAAACAAUGAAUUUAAACAGAUAAAAUUGAUCCUGGUGAUACGAGAGAGAGAGAAAAAAAAUCCACCUAACCUCGAGAAAAAGAGCAAGGAGUUACAAGGAUUAGGAUGUUGCCAAAGUCUUAUUAGUCCAUCCGAGGAGACAUCUAGUGUUCACUAGAGAAUCGACCCAAUCCAAAGAGAAUAUCAAGAGAAUAUCAAGAGAAUCAAGAGAGAGAGGACCUCGGGUGAUAAAGAGAACGAGGAGAGGUAAGAGGAUCGCCGGUAACCUUGAAAACCUAAAUUAAGAUGCCGGUAAUCCAGGGCAAUUAAUAAAAAAAUUUUCUUCAGACCACCCAGCCCUGCCAGUGGCCCCCACACAACUAAAACAAAUCAUUUAGUUGUGUGGGGGCUCUGGUAGGGCUGGGUGGUCAAAAAUUCUGGAAUAAUUCACCUAAAAUUGGCGAUGUAAUAAGGCUGCCUUAUGUAAUUCU
Macrobrachium nipponense is the source of this 637-nucleotide long non-coding RNA. RefSeq lists it as uncharacterized. The transcript is spliced from 3 exons. The record is from RefSeq and is a predicted model, not a curated record. NCBI's taxonomy places the organism in Eukaryota, Metazoa, Arthropoda, Malacostraca, Decapoda, Palaemonidae.